RNAcentral lists this ribosomal RNA (300 nucleotides) under uncultured Galenea sp. RNAcentral's name for it is "bacterial SSU rRNA". It matches the Rfam family "Bacterial small subunit ribosomal RNA", at positions 495 to 795 of the family's 1533-position model. Lineage: Bacteria; Pseudomonadati; Pseudomonadota; Gammaproteobacteria; Thiotrichales; Piscirickettsiaceae. The record is from RNAcentral.
GGCGAACGACGUGCCAUCAGCUGGUGUGAUAGGGAGGGUGGGAGGUGUAACUGGAAGGUGUGUGGGUAAAGUGUGCGCAGGCGGCCGAGCAAGUCGAGUGUGAAAGCCCCGGGCUUAACUUGGGAAUGGGGCUCGAAACUAGUUGGCUGGAGUGUGGCAGAGGAAGGUGGAAUUCCACGUGUAGCGGUGAAAUGCGUAGAUAUGUGGAGGAACAGCAAUGGCGAAGGCAGCCUUCUGGGCCAACACUGACGCUCAUGCACGAAAGCGUGGGGAGCAAACAGGAUUAGAUACCCUGUAGUC